Molecule: ribosomal RNA, 264 nt
Filed under: uncultured bacterium
Lineage: Bacteria
Description: partial 16S ribosomal RNA
Rfam family: Bacterial small subunit ribosomal RNA
Source: RNAcentral
CUUAGUGGCGGACGGGUGAGUAACGCGUGGGGAACCUGCCCUGUACAGGGGGAUAACACUUAGAAAUAGGUGCUAAUACCGCAUAAGCGCACAGUAUUCGCAUGAUACAGUGUGAAAAACUCCGGUGGUACAGGAUGGACCCGCGUCUGAUUAGCUGGUUGGCGGGGUAACGGCCCACCAAGGCGACGAUCAGUAGCCGGCCUGAGAGGGUGAACGGCCACAUUGGGACUGAGACACGGCCCAAACUCCUACGGAAGGCAGCAG